This is a long non-coding RNA of Photinus pyralis (common eastern firefly), 861 nucleotides long. RefSeq lists it as uncharacterized. The transcript is spliced from 3 exons. Lineage: Eukaryota; Metazoa; Arthropoda; Insecta; Coleoptera; Lampyridae. The record is from RefSeq and is a predicted model, not a curated record.
CUGCAAUACAACCGUAAUUCAAUUCAUGACAUGCAUGUUUAUACCUAAUCACUGCUCUGAAAUUCGACGGCAAAGCCGAAUGUGGUUCUUCUGCUGCAGAAAUAAGCCACUGAAUAGACGGUGCAUUGUCUUCUUCAACCGAAGUCAUUUUAUUUACAAAGACAGUGAUUUUUAAUACGCGAACGUCAAGUGACAUUUCCAUGGCAAUCAUGGAAUGACAAAUAAUCAGCCCACUUAAUUAGAAAUGUAUUCGAGCAGCAGCGAUUGAGAACUUCAUCUACGACAUGAUCCAAUAAAGUUAAAACAUAGGUUCUAAAAGAGAAAGACGUAUUUAAUGGGUCCAAUAGUUCCUUACCAAUGGUUGUUGAGAAUACUGGUUUCCGCUAUCAAAAAGAUAAUCCAAGAAACGGUUAUGUAGUUACUCCAUAUUGCACUAUCAAGGGUCCAUGUUUAGAUGCGUAUGUAAAAAAUAGGCAAUCUGAGAUUGUGUCUUUUUGAAUGAACCGUGCGUAGUUAAAAAUGGCACAAUAUCUAAGUCACGGCAAGACGACAGUGCAAUAAGGAUAAGAAAAAUUAAACCCGAGAGACGCAGGUACUGAUGAGAACAAUAUCAUCUUAUAACUAUGAACAUGAAUGGUUUAAUUCUGUACUGGAAUUAUUGCUUCAAAAACAAUCCCGAUCCCGAGUACCGUGGGGAAAUGAACAAGAACAGUUUUCUUAAGGGGUUGGAAGAUCUUCAAAACGAUAUGCUGCUGAUGAGAUGAGAUUAGAAAAUGAACAUGCGAUUAUACCAUUGCGUUUUCAAGCCCAUAGAAAGGGAACAUUAUAACCGACAUAUUGGGAAUUUAGUUUUUGUAUUUG